UUCUACUCCAUUUAUUAAUCUGCAGUGUAUUUUCCUCUUCUCUCACUUCCACAGAGAAACUUUGACUUAUUCUCACAUGGUAGUUACUUGGCAAAUGUGACAGUUGUUUUGGAACGAGAAUUCAUAUGUUGCACCAUACUCUGGCUUAUAAAAAACCUUAUCUUUAAUAAAACCUCUGAUACAGGGAAAUUCCUCAUUUUUUCAGCUAAUUCAGGAGGAUCUUUGCUGAAAAUUUUCAUGGCAAAAGGAAAGACUUCUACUCCCAGUAAGGCAGCAGAAAUAAGAAAGAUGAAAAAGGUUUGAAAACCAUAAGACAAUCUUCAGCACUUUUUCUGACUACAGAGCCAUCAUUACCAAAACCAAAGAACUGAAGUUAAAACUUUGCAGAAGCAGUUUCCAGGUAAGAAAUGCCCCUGUCCAGGCUGAAUAUUCAUCACAAUCCUACUGUUUUUCUGGUGCCUAAAGUGAUAUGCACUCUGUACUUCUGCAGGGGAAUAAUUUUCAUCUAGAGGUGUAAACCACUUCAUUAGAAGCAUCCGGUGGGAUGAAUGAGAGGAUCUCCUCCACUAUGAGUCGUCUCAUGUAUCUUUUUAGUCUUCUAAUUACAUCAAUUUUAUUUUACAUUGGUAAUAAUAGAGUUAAAAUGGCUUUUUAAGCUGAGAUUAUGUCACACCAGAGGAGUUCAAAGAUGAACUUCUGAGUGUGACUCUUUAACAGCAGAUUUGUUCUGCAAGGCAUUUCCACAAAAGAUUCAUCAGGGUUAUAUUACAACUUGGGUAAUAUUUCCAGAGGCAAAACACAUACAUAUAUACAUUUAGAAGUGAAAGUAGCCUAAAAUAUAUUGGUGUAUAGAAUGUGAAUUUCAAAGGUGAAAAAGAAUAAUCAUAAGUAGUUUUUAAUUUUAGGUAUGAUUCAGCAAUUGUUAAUUUAUUUCCAAAUACUUCUGGUCUUGGUAAGCUGUGGGAGGAUUAUACAAAGAUAACUUAUUCUAAUUGAAUCUUACCUUUCAAUAUAAAAAAUAAUUUAAAAAUUAUUAAUGAAGAGAAGAAUGUGCACAGCGUAUCAGUAGUAAAAAAUCUAAAGAGCUAAUAUAAAAUUUUCCCAACCAUAGCUGAUACCAACUUAUCCUGGCUGAUGUAUGAAUUUUAUUUCCAGUUUUGUAAACCUCAGAAAUGCCAGGGGAAAAAAAUGGCAUUUUUUUUUUUUUUUU
This is a long non-coding RNA of Haemorhous mexicanus (house finch), 1210 nucleotides long. RefSeq lists it as uncharacterized. The transcript has 3 exons. NCBI's taxonomy places the organism in Eukaryota, Metazoa, Chordata, Aves, Passeriformes, Fringillidae. The record is from RefSeq and is a predicted model, not a curated record.